Molecule: ribosomal RNA, 691 nt
Filed under: uncultured Bacteroidales bacterium
Lineage: Bacteria; Pseudomonadati; Bacteroidota; Bacteroidia; Bacteroidales
Description: bacterial SSU rRNA
Rfam family: Bacterial small subunit ribosomal RNA
Source: RNAcentral
AACGCUAGCUACAGGCUUAACACAUGCAAGUCGAGGGGCAGCAUUGGAGUAGCAAUACUUCAGAUGGCGACCGGCGCACGGGUGAGUAACACGUAUCCAACCUGCCGUUUACUCGGGGAUAGCCUUUCGAAAGAAAGAUUAAUACCCGAUGGUAUAAAGAGUUCGCAUGUUCUCUUUAUUGAAGAAUUUCGGUAAGCGAUGGGGAUGCGUUCCAUUAGAUAGUUGGCGGGGUAACGGCCCACCAAGUCUACGAUGGAUAGGGGUUCUGAGAGGAAGGUCCCCCACAUUGGAACUGAGACACGGUCCAAACUCCUACGGGAGGCAGCAGUGAGGAAUAUUGGUCAAUGGACGAGAGCCUGAACCAGCCAAGUAGCGUGAAGGAUGACUGCCCUAUGGGUUGUAAACUUCUUUUAUAAGGGAAUAAAGUGAGGGACGUGUCCCUUUUUGUAUGUACCUUAUGAAUAAGGAUCGGCUAACUCCGUGCCAGCAGCCGCGGUAAUACGGAGGAUCCAAGCGUUAUCCGGAUUUAUUGGGUUUAAAGGGAGCGUAGGUUGACAUAUAAGUCAGCUGUGAAAGUUUACGGCUCAACCGUGAAAUUGCAGUUGAUACUGUAUGUCUUGAGUGUACAAGAGGUGGGCGGAAUUCGUGGUGUAGCGGUGAAAUGCUUAGAUAUCACGAAGAACUCCGAUUG